Brassica napus (rape) is the source of this 298-nucleotide long non-coding RNA. RefSeq lists it as uncharacterized. The transcript is spliced from 3 exons. The record is from RefSeq and is a predicted model, not a curated record. Lineage: Eukaryota; Viridiplantae; Streptophyta; Magnoliopsida; Brassicales; Brassicaceae.
CUCUACAGAAGCAACUGAUCUUUCUCUCUGAGCUUGAUAAUGGCGCAAUCAAAGGGAUGGAUUCAGAACGAGGAUGUGGUGUGAAUGAUAAUGAAUCCGAUUUAAGCAUAAAUAUGAUACCUUGACGGAAGAGAUAUACGCUUAAUGCAUGAAGAAAGGACAGAAGCUUUGACUUUUCUUCUCACGGUUUUUUUUUUUUGAGUUAUUCCUCAAAGUCUUGGUAGAAUUUGUAUUUUUUGAGCCAAAGAGAAACUUUUACUCUCUUAUCGUUGCACAGAAGGAUACUACCUUUUUUUUU